UUAGAAUAAACAUGUGUAGAAAUU
RNAcentral lists this microRNA (24 nucleotides) under Glycine max (soybean). RNAcentral describes it as "gma-miR10431". Lineage: Eukaryota; Viridiplantae; Streptophyta; Magnoliopsida; Fabales; Fabaceae. The record is from miRBase by way of RNAcentral.